UACGUAGGGGGCAAGCGUUGUCCGGAUUUACUGGGCGUAAAGCGCGCGUAGGCGGAACUUCAAGUCCGGUCUGAAAGCCUCCGGCUCAACCGGGGAGGGUGGCUGGAAACUGGGGUUCUUGAGGGCGAGAGAGGAGGGUGGAAUUCCUGGUGUAGCGGUGAAAUGCGUAGAGAUCAGGAGGAACACCCGGGGCGAAGGCGGCCCUCUGGCUCGACCCUGACGCUGAGGCGCGAAAGCGUGGGGAGCGAACGGG
This 253-nucleotide ribosomal RNA is filed under the name uncultured bacterium. RNAcentral's name for it is "partial 16S ribosomal RNA". It matches the Rfam family "Bacterial small subunit ribosomal RNA", at positions 524 to 776 of the family's 1533-position model. The record is from RNAcentral.